RNAcentral lists this ribosomal RNA (458 nucleotides) under uncultured bacterium. RNAcentral describes it as "SSU rRNA". It matches the Rfam family "Bacterial small subunit ribosomal RNA", at positions 26 to 518 of the family's 1533-position model. The record is from RNAcentral.
AGAAUCAACGCUGGCGGCGUGCCUAACACAUGCAAGUCGCACGAGAAAGGGUAGCAAUACCUGAGUACAGUGGCGCACGGGUGAGUAACACGUGAAUAAUCUACCUCCGAGUGGGGAAUAACUGAGAGAAAUCUUAGCUAAUACCGCAUAACACUUACGAGUCAAAGCAGCAAUGCGCUUGGAGAGGAGUUCGCGGCAGAUUAGUUAGUUGGCGGGGUAAUGGCCACCAAGACGAUGAUCUGUAUCCGGCCUGAGAGGGCGCACGGACACACUGGAACUGAAACACGGUCCAGACUCCUACGGGAGGCAGCAGUGGGGAAUUUUGCGCAAUGGGGGAAACCCUGACGCAGCAACGCCGCGUGGAGGAUGAAAUCCCUUGGGAUGUAAACUCCUUUCGAUAGGGAAGAUAAUGACGGUACCUAUAGAAGAAGCCCGGCUAACUUCGCGCCAGCAGCCGC